GACGAACGCUGGCGGCGUGCUUAACACAUGCAAGUCGAACGGAAAGGCCCUGCUUUUGUGGGGUGCUCGAGUGGCGAACGGGUGAGUAACACGUGAGUAACCUGCCCUUGACUUUGGGAUAACUUCAGGAAACUGGGGCUAAUACCGGAUAGGAGCUCCUGCUGCAUGGUGGGGGUUGGAAAGAUUCGGCGGUUGGGGAUGGACUCGCGGCCUAUCAGCUUGUUGGUGGGGUAGUGGCUUACCAAGGCUUUGACGGGUAGCCGGCCUGAGAGGGUGACCGGCCACAUUGGGACUGAGAUACGGCCCAGACUCCUACGGGAGGCAGCAGUGGGGAAUAUUGCACAAUGGGCGGAAGCCUGAUGCAGCAACGCCGCGUGCGGGAUGACGGCCUUCGGGUUGUAAACCGCUUUCGCCUGUGACGAAGCGUGAGUGACGGUAAUGGGUAAAGAAGCACCGGCUAACUACGUG
This 468-nucleotide ribosomal RNA is filed under the name uncultured bacterium. Its description in RNAcentral is "partial 16S ribosomal RNA". It matches the Rfam family "Bacterial small subunit ribosomal RNA", at positions 28 to 507 of the family's 1533-position model. The record is from RNAcentral.